Molecule: ribosomal RNA, 170 nt
Filed under: Acromycter nezumi
Lineage: Eukaryota; Metazoa; Chordata; Actinopteri; Anguilliformes; Congridae
Description: partial 12S rRNA
Source: RNAcentral
CACCGCGGUUAUACGAGGGGCUCAAAUUGAUAUUCUCCGGCGUAAAGAGUGAUUAAAGAAAUUAACUAAACUAAAGCCAAAUACCUCCUAAGCUGUCAUACGCUAAUGAAGAUACGAAGCCCCACAACGAAAGUGGCCUUAUUACACUUGAACUCACGACCAUUAAGAAA